RNAcentral lists this ribosomal RNA (440 nucleotides) under uncultured bacterium. Its description in RNAcentral is "partial 16S ribosomal RNA". It matches the Rfam family "Bacterial small subunit ribosomal RNA", at positions 338 to 795 of the family's 1533-position model. The record is from RNAcentral.
CCUACGGGAGACAGCAGUGGGGAAUAUUGCACAAUGGGGGAAACCCUGAUGCAGCGACGCCGCGUGAAGGAAGAAGUAUUUCGGUAUGUAAACUUCUAUCAGCAGGGAAGAAAAUGACGGUACCUGAUUAAGAAGCCCCUGCUAACUACGUGCCAGCAGCCGCGGUCAUACGGAGGGGGCAAGCGUUAUCCGGAUUUACUGGGUGUAAAGGGAGCGUAGGCGGUUUAGCAAGUCAGAAGUGAAAGCCCGGGGCUCAACUCCGGGACUGCUUUUGAAACUGUUGAACUAGAGUGCAGGAGAGGUAAGUGGAAUUCCUAGUGUAGCGGUGAAAUGCGUAGAUAUUAGGAGGAACACCAGUGGCGAAGGCGGCUUACUGGACUGUAAAUGACGCUGAGGCUCGAAAGCGUGGGGAGCAAACAGGAUUAGAUACCCUGGUAGUC